RNAcentral lists this unclassified non-coding RNA (300 nucleotides) under uncultured fungus. RNAcentral describes it as "sequence contains 5.8S rRNA gene, ITS2". The stretch from base 1 to 71 matches the Rfam family "5.8S ribosomal RNA", at positions 84 to 154 of the family's 154-position model. The record is from RNAcentral. Lineage: Eukaryota; Fungi.
GUGAAUCAUCGAAUCUUUGAACGCACAUUGCGCUUCCUGGCAUUCCGGGGAGCAUGCCUGUUUCAGAAUCAUUAAAACCUCUCACCUACUAUUGUGUUUAAUGCCAAUAGCAUGGUGGAUUUUGAAUGUUUUCGAAAUUUAUUUUGAAUCAUUUAAAUUUCAUUGUAUGCAGCCAUUAUUUCACUCAUUUCAAAAUGUUUAGUGAAUGGUUCCCAAGUGCAAUAAAGACUAAAAAUCUCUUAUCACUCUUGAGUACCGCCAAAUUCCUAGGCAAUAAAUUUUGAUUUGUUUAUGAAUAAU